Molecule: long non-coding RNA, 907 nt
Organism: Folsomia candida
Lineage: Eukaryota; Metazoa; Arthropoda; Collembola; Entomobryomorpha; Isotomidae
Exons: 3
Source: RefSeq, a predicted model, not a curated record
GUGUGUGUGUGUGUGUGUGUGUGUUUGUGUGAUGAAGGGUCAUACAGGAUAGAGAUUGAUAUCAAUAAAUUGUAACAACAGCACCAAAGAUAGGAUGAUAAAUGAAGGUUUUAUUUUCUGGUAAGUGUGUAGGUUACAUGAAAUAUAUGUACAUAUGAAAAUACGCAUGUUUCAUUGCAAAAUAUUUGCAAAAUUAAGCUUGGUAUGCUUAGUUCAUUAAUUAUUUUAGAUUUUAGUUAUGAUUUUCAUUAUUAUUUUUUCUUUCUUUUCAAGUUACAUAUUCCGUCUUACUGCAACAUUGUGUCUUACAGCGGAAAGUGAAAGUAACUCGACCAAGAGAGAAAAGUUUCUUCCACUAGUAGCUCCAACAAGGAGCUCGCCCACCAACUAAUGCAAGCAUGUUCUUCAGGGUCGUGCAGGAAGGAUGGUGAAAUUUUAACAUUAGCUGCGAAGAUAUUUAAGUUUAAAGGAGCCAUAUCCUUUGGCUCCACGCCGAGAAGCAACAGGUGCUGUGGUGGUAAUAAUUUCAUCAAACGUAGACUUCUUCAACGGUCCAUUAUGGAGUUUUAUAAUCAAGAACGGUGUUAGACUUAUUACUGAAUGGUAUUAGAAUUGCAUGAGAAAUAGAGGUGAGUAGGGCCAGACAUUUUCGAAGCCCGGCCCGCCCAAGCCGGACUCAAAAACCCUAUUCAAAACCCGACCCGCCCAAGCCCUAUUCAAAGCCCAACUCAAAAGCCGGGGCCCGCCCAGGUCAGGAUUUCUAAAGCCCGAGCCCGCCCAAGCCCUACGGGCUUGGGCGCUGAGAAAGCCCGCCCAGGCCCGGGCCCAUCGGGCUUAGUAGGGCUUUUUUUGUUAUGAAGUGACAAAUUAUACAAUUAAAAAAUAAAACUUGUAGAGCGCUCUCAAC